RNAcentral lists this ribosomal RNA (253 nucleotides) under uncultured bacterium. RNAcentral's name for it is "partial 16S ribosomal RNA". It matches the Rfam family "Bacterial small subunit ribosomal RNA", at positions 524 to 776 of the family's 1533-position model. The record is from RNAcentral.
UACGUAGGGGGCAAGCGUUGUUCGGAAUUACUGGGCGUAAAGAGCUCGUAGGUGGUUUGUCGCGUCGUCUGUGAAAUUCCGGGGCUUAACUCCGGGCGUGCAGGCGAUACGGGCAUCCUGGAGUGCUGUAGAGGAGACUGGAAUUCCAGGUGUAGCGGUGGAAUGCGCAGAUAUCAGGAGGAACACCGAUGGCGAAGGCAGGUCUCUGGGCAGUUACUGACACUGAGGAGCGAAAGCAUGGGGAGCGAACAGG